This 610-nucleotide ribosomal RNA is filed under the name uncultured Gammaproteobacteria bacterium. RNAcentral's name for it is "partial 16S ribosomal RNA". Lineage: Bacteria; Pseudomonadati; Pseudomonadota; Gammaproteobacteria. The record is from RNAcentral.
GUUCCGCUGCUAGGCAUCAACCAGACUCUCCUGCUGGUGGGUGUGACCUUCACUCUGUGCCAGGUCUGAGGAUGCCCUCCGUCGUCACCCCUUAUAACCUGUUACCCCCUUUGGGACUAGGUCGCUGCGGCGCACACACUUCUUCCGGACGCCCAACAUUUCGUGAAAAUCACCCCUACUUUACGUGUCCCGAUUAUGGAGACACAAAACUGGAUUGGGUGUCUUUUUCGUGGCCGAUUGAGACACGGUCGUCGGCGCCAUUAUGUCUCCCACGUUCGCAAUUAGCCUUAAUGACCCGCAUUUCGCAUGCAUCCGCCAAAGCAUUCAGCCCACACUUUCGGGGCCCGAGUUGGACCCUUAACGUAAGCUCUGACGCUUCGAUCCCGCGCCUUCUCCCUUCACCUUAAAGGCCACAUCGCCACUUUACGCAUCUAUAGCCUUCCUUGUAGUCACCGCUUUCGCUGAAGGACCAGGUCGCGGCUGCGAGUCCAUGCUUUCGCACCCCUCGUUUGUCCUAAUCUAUGGGACCAUCAGGUGCGGUAUUUGCUACUCUUGAUCUGCAACUCUCCCAUUCGGAGGGUCACAGCGUCGAUUGCGCUAUUCAGAGGCG